This 274-nucleotide ribosomal RNA is filed under the name uncultured bacterium. RNAcentral's name for it is "partial 16S ribosomal RNA". It matches the Rfam family "Bacterial small subunit ribosomal RNA", at positions 523 to 796 of the family's 1533-position model. The record is from RNAcentral.
AUACGAAGGUCCCGAGCGUUAUUCGGAAUCACUGGGCGUAAAGAGUAUGUAGGCGGUUUGGUAAGUCUGGUGUGAAAUCCCGGAGCUCAACUUCGGAACUGCAUCCGAUACUGCCAGACUAGAGUAAUGGAGAGGCAGGUGGAAUUCUCGGUGUAGCAGUGAAAUGCGUGGAUAUCGAGAGGAAGACCAAUGGCGAAGGCAGCCUGCUGGACAUUUACUGACGCUGAGAUACGAAGGCUAGGGGAGCGAAAGGGAUUAGAAACCCCAGUAGUCC